AAUGGGCGAAAGCCUGACGCAGCAACGCCGCGUGAGUGAUGAAGGCCCUCGGGUCGUAAAGCUCUGUCAGAGGGGAAGAAACUUUUGGGGGAGAAUAUCCCUUGAAACUGACGGUACCCUCAAAGGAAGCACCGGCUAACUCCGUGCCAGCAGCCGCGGUAAUACGGAGGGUGCAAGCGUUGUUCGGAAUUAUUGGGCGUAAAGCGCGUGUAGGCGGCUAUUUAAGUCUGAUGUGAAAGCCCGGGGCUCAACCCCGGAAGUGCAUUGGAAACUGGAUAGCUUGAGUACGGGAGAGGGUAGUGGAAUUUCGAGUGUAGGGGUGAAAUCCGUAGAUAUUCGAAGGAACACCGGUGGCGAAGGCGGCUACCUGGACCGAUACUGACGCUGAGACGCGAAAGCGUGGGGAGCAAA
Molecule: ribosomal RNA, 411 nt
Filed under: uncultured bacterium
Lineage: Bacteria
Description: bacterial SSU rRNA
Rfam family: Bacterial small subunit ribosomal RNA
Source: RNAcentral